GAUUCAUAAUAACUUCUCGAAUCGCACGGCCUUGCGCCGGCGAUGGUUCAUUCAAAUUUCUGCCCUAUCAACUUUCGACGGCUGGGUCUUGGCCAGCCAUGGUGACAACGGGUAACGGAGGGUUAGGGCUCGACCCCGGAGAAGGAGCCUGAGAAACGGCUACUACAUCCAAGGAAGGCAGCAGGCGCGCAAAUUACCCAAUCCCGACACGGGGAGGUAGUGACAAUAAAUACUGAUACAGGGCUCUUUUGGGUCUUGUAAUUGGAAUGAGUACAAUUUAAAUCCCUUAACGAGGAACAAUUGGAGGGCAAGUCUGGUGCCAGCAGCCGCGGUAAUUCCAGCUCCAAUAGCGUAUAUUAAAGUUGUUGAGGUUAAAAAGCUCGUAGUUGAACCUUGGGCCUAGCCGGCCGGUCCGCCUCACCGCGUGCACUGGCUCGGCUGGGUCUUUCCUUCUGGAGAACCGCAUGCCCUUCACUGGGUGUGCUGGGGAACCAGGACUUUUAC
RNAcentral lists this ribosomal RNA (504 nucleotides) under uncultured fungus. RNAcentral describes it as "SSU rRNA". It matches the Rfam family "Eukaryotic small subunit ribosomal RNA", at positions 248 to 755 of the family's 1831-position model. Lineage: Eukaryota; Fungi. The record is from RNAcentral.